GGCCUUGGGCAGGGCCGUUGGGCGGUUGGGCGAGGCCUCGCGCUGGGCGCUUGGGCGUGGCCUUGGGCAGGGCCGUUGGGCGUGGCCUCGCGCUGGGCCACCCGCAGUUCAGAGGCUGCGUCGGCAGCGGUGGCAGGGUAGCCGCAGUCCGCAGCCAGAGUAUGGCUGACACGCGAGAGGCUUGGGCCUGCAAGGGGAGGCCGAAGGAGGACUGACCAGAGCAAAAGAUCCCAGCUACCGGAACGGUAGUGCGCCCCACUCCGUGCGCAGGACUGGGCAGCCAUCCGUCCGCCGGGGAGGUGAGCUGGAGAGAGCACAGAUUCGGAGAAAUUGAGGAGGAGGCUGGAUGUGAGGACAAAUGAAAGUGCUUUGGGCAGUGUUGAUGAUAAGAAGUAACCGCGAGCAGUUCCUCCUGUCCCGGUGCUAGCAAGGGGCUUUCGUAUGCAGUCUCACUGGGUCCCACGUGGGCUUUUGUAAGGUGGUGGAUAGAACUUUCCCCACGAGAGGAGGCAGCGACCACGUCUUCCUCUGUGGAGAAUUCGAAGAUCCGUCCAGCUGGGAGGCGCAGUCCUCACCCGUCCAGGCCGACAGAGCUAGGGAACCCUGGGCUGUCUUAUGAUGCAGGAAUGCAUUUUCAAGACUUCUCCUUUUGGGAAGUAGAGUCUGUGAGGCGGUGCCGCCCAGCCUGAUUUCCUGCGCUGUGGUGGUGUGGAGCGCUGCUGUGGAACCCAGCACCAUGUUCUGUGGGAAGGAGUCCACUGUGCUUUCUCUGUUAUACUUGUAAUGGGAACAGUAGUUCCUAGGAUUGCAGGGCAGCUGUGCAGUGACAGUAACCACUGGGAAAACGAGAAUGACACUUGCAGCAAUAGUCCAGAUCGUCUGCCUAGCUGGCAAAUGUAGUAGGAACUUCCUGCCCUUUGCCUGUCUCUAGCUGCAGGGUAAAUCAGAUAAGGGUCCUUCUAUUGCUUCAAGUUUCAUUCCCUCCUUAAAUGAUUGAGGGUGGGCUUUCUUAGUUCCUCCCUGAAGGUGUGAUUUCAUAUCUCAGUUGAGGUCAUAAGAGGAGCACUGGCCAAAAUAAAAUAGGAAUCUGGAUCCCUGGGGAUGGAUGGCUGAAGUAAUGCCCUCCCUGUACCCCCGAAUAUCCUAAUGGAUUUUGUGCUCAGAGUCCUAGGGACCUGGGAGCCCCCGAAAUAAUUUCCCUGGCCAGUGCUGUCUAGUGGAAUUGUAAGGUAGCACUGCUAACCCAGCAGCCGUCAUGCUGCCUGUGGGAGAGCUGGGCCAGACACCAGCUUCCCUUUCAAACGGAAACGAGUAACUCUGAGGUCUCCAGUGAGGGAAACUUUGGGCUCAGGAAGAGCCAGGCUCCUCCCACGCACGCUUCUCCAGGAGGUUUGCAAGAGGUAUUCUUGAUUGUCCUCUUUGGCAGACCACGGAGCUUCCUGUUUUUCCAUGUCUUCCUUUCUGGGAUUCCAAGAUGACAGAAUGGUGGCACUUGAUGGUCUCCUCAGGGUAUAGUCAGCGUGGGAGCCCAGGGCACUGCCAAUGAAUGUAGAGCCUAGGCACAGGCUGUGGGCUUUGGAAAAACAGCUUUAUUGAGGUGUAAUUGGCCUUCGAUAAGCUGCGUGUCUAACUGCACACACUAACGUGUUGCGUGUGUGCAUACCUCCUGCUGCCGUCACCUCAGUCAGACCAUGAGCCUACCUGUCCUCAUGAAAUGUUCUCCUGGCCUUCUGCAUCUCUUCCCUUCCACUCUUCACACCGCUAACACACUGGACCCAAAACAGACGAAAGUCAAAAGGCACCCCAGCCACGUAACGCAGAUGGUGUGUGACCAUGACCCUCAGACAAUUAGAGCGACUUUCCUUUUAGACCGAGAUGGGUGUCGGUAAAAUACUGGUUAAUUCAGCAGUUACGCAAAAGACAGAUGAAAAUGUAUAACUGCUACGGCAAGCAGAAACACCAAAAUGACACCCAGGAUUCAGAGGCAGAUUUACAUCGACGGGCAUCGAUUGGGAUCACCCCCAGAAUACCAGGCCCUGACCUCUGGUGGUCUCGGCUUAUAUGGGAUGAACAAGCAGGAGGCACCGAGGCAGAAGGGCUUGUCAUUGGGGAUUGGUCUAUACAUCGUGAUCACAGUGCCCAGCUGUUUCUAAGAGAAGGAACAGAAGCAACAGGAACUGUGACACGGGCAACUGAAAUGUGCUGGCUGGGGGCAUCUCCUGCCUGUAGACUCUCGUUCUCCAAAGUGUGAUUUUUUUUUUUUCUCUGUCUUUGUCCAGUUUUUCUUUCCAGUUUCCCUGCAGCCUUAAAUUUGGUUGAUUUUCUCAUUUUCUCCUGGCAUUGCAAGCAGGCUGUUUGCUCUUGAGUUCCUGAGGAAAGAUAUGCUCUAGAUAAAGAAAAGGUGCUAGCAGGUGGCAGGCAACACAUUUCAAAGCAAAAGUGGCCUUCACUCACCGUUUUCCAGGCCCUUAGGAUGGGCUCAGAGCAGUAGCAUGGGAAACCUGGAGACCUGUGACUCACCCGGUGCCAAAGCUGACCGGGAAGGCACAGCGCGGCCUGGAGGACAGGGCUGACACGCUGUGCGGGCGCGCUGAGCUCUGAGCUCGCCUCCCCGCCAGGCCAGGCCACUGACCCAAACACAGUGCGUGAGAUUUAGGAAUAGUCCCUGAGUACAUGUGGCGCAUCCGUUUGUCAAGUACCUGUCACUUAGGUGCCAACUUCACACCUGAAUUGCGUAUUGAAGUUAAAACACAAAACGGUGAAUUAAAGUGGAUCGGUCAAGGA
Long non-coding RNA from Chinchilla lanigera (long-tailed chinchilla), 2784 nucleotides. RefSeq lists it as uncharacterized. Lineage: Eukaryota; Metazoa; Chordata; Mammalia; Rodentia; Chinchillidae. The record is from RefSeq and is a predicted model, not a curated record. The transcript has 5 exons.